UAAACUAGGAUUAGAUACCCUAUUAUUGAAAAUGUAAAUUUAAAAUACUAAAUUAUUAUUAGUUAUGUUCUUGAAAAUUAAAAAAUUUGGCGGUAUUUUAGUCUUUUCAGAGGAACCUGUUCUAUAAUUGAUAGUCCACGAUUAGAAUAACUUUACUUAUUAGUUUACAUAUCGUCGUAGGUAGAAUAUUUUAUUAGAAUAUUAAUAUUCAAGAUUUUUUAUAAAAAAAUAAAUCAGAUCAAGGUGUAAUUUAUAGUGAAGUAGAAAUGGGUUACAAUAAAAUUAUUUAAGGAUAAUUUUUAUUAUAAAAAUUUGAAUUGGAUUUGAGAGUAAUUUUUAAAUUUUUUAAAGAUGAUUAUAGCUCUAAAAUAUGUACACAUCGCCCGUCGCUCUUAA
This 396-nucleotide ribosomal RNA is filed under the name Acanthoscelides taboga. Its description in RNAcentral is "partial 12S small subunit ribosomal RNA". Lineage: Eukaryota; Metazoa; Arthropoda; Insecta; Coleoptera; Chrysomelidae. The record is from RNAcentral.